Molecule: ribosomal RNA, 380 nt
Filed under: uncultured eukaryote
Lineage: Eukaryota
Description: partial 18S ribosomal RNA
Rfam family: Eukaryotic small subunit ribosomal RNA
Source: RNAcentral
CAAUAGCGUAUAUUAAAGUUGUUGCAGUUAAAAAGCUCGUAGUUGGAUUUGUGGCGUACGGUGUGUUCCGGGCACUUGUUGUCUGAGUAACCUGCUGUUGCCAUCCUUGGGUGGAACCUGUGUGGCAUUAGGUUGUCGUGCAGGGGAUGCCCAUCAUUUACUGUGAAAAAAUUAGAGUGUUCAAAGCAGGCUUACGCCGUUGAAUAUAUUAGCAUGGAAUAAUGAGAUAGGACUUUUUUGCUAUUUUGUUGGUUUGCGCAAAGAGGUAAUGAUUAAUAGGGACAGUUGGGGGUAUUCGUAUUCCAUUGUCAGAGGUGAAAUUCUUGGAUUUUUGGAAGACGAACUACUGCGAAAGCAUUUACCAAGGAUGUUUUCAUUAA